This 482-nucleotide ribosomal RNA is filed under the name uncultured bacterium. RNAcentral describes it as "partial 16S ribosomal RNA". It matches the Rfam family "Bacterial small subunit ribosomal RNA", at positions 30 to 507 of the family's 1533-position model. The record is from RNAcentral.
AUUGAACGCUGGCGGCCUGCCUUUCACAUGCAAGUUGAACGGUAACGGGCCUUCGGGUGCCGCCGUGUGGCGCACGGGUGCGUUCUACAGCGGACCGUGCACGAUCGUGGGGGUUAAUGAGGGGCACGCUUUGUUAAUACCGCUUCCGAUCACCGGAUGACAGCCGGGGACCGCAAGGCCUCGCGCGGACGGCGCGGGCGAUGGCAGAUUAGGUAGCAGGUGGGAUAGAAGCUUACAAGGCCGAUGAUCUGUAGCUGUUCUGUGAGGAUGGCCAGCCACACUGGGACUGGGACACGGCCCAGACUCCUACGGUAGGCAGCAGUGGGGAAUUUUGGACAAUGGGCGCAAGCCGGAUCCAGCCAUGCCGCGUGAAGGAUGAAGGCCUUCGGGUUGUAAACUGCUUUUGUACGGAACGAAAAGCCUUCUUUUAAUACAGGAGGGUCAUGACGGUACCGUAAGAAUAAGCACCGGCUAACUACGUG